UACGGGGGGGGUAAGCGUUGUUCGGAAUUACUGGGCGUAAAGGGCUCGUAGGCGGCCAACUAAGUCGGACGUGAAAUCCCUCAGCUUAACUGGGGAACUGCGUCCGAUACUGGAUGGCUUGGAUUUGGGAGAGGGAUGCGGAAUUCCAGGUGUAGCGGUGAAAUGCGUAGAUAUCUGGAGGAACACCGGUGGCGAAGGCGGCAUCCUGGACCAACACUGACGCUGAUGAGCGAAAGCCAGGGGAGCAAACGGG
RNAcentral lists this ribosomal RNA (253 nucleotides) under uncultured bacterium. RNAcentral's name for it is "partial 16S ribosomal RNA". It matches the Rfam family "Bacterial small subunit ribosomal RNA", at positions 524 to 776 of the family's 1533-position model. The record is from RNAcentral.